GUGCUGACUUCGGCAGCAGAUGCACUAAAAUUGUAAUGAUACAGAGAAGAGUACCAUGGCCCCUGCACAAAGAUAACAUGCAAUUUUGUGAAGGAUUCCAUAUUUAA
This is a small nuclear RNA of Otolemur garnettii (small-eared galago), 107 nucleotides long. NCBI's taxonomy places the organism in Eukaryota, Metazoa, Chordata, Mammalia, Primates, Galagidae. The record is from Ensembl.